AGUGCAGAUCUUGGUGGUAGUAGCAAGUAUUCAAGCGAGAUCCUUGAAGGGCGAAGCGGGGAAGGGUUCCACGCGAACAUUGAUUGGGCGUGGGUGAGUCGUUCCUAAGCCGAGUGGCGAUUGCUAAGUAGCGGCGAAAGGGAAGCUGGUUGACAUUCCAGCACACGGAUGUGGAGGCGGUGACGCGUAUUGAGACGAACACGCUGGCGGUGGCGCUGGGCAGAGUUGUCUUUUCUGUUUGACUUUGCGCGCGCGGUGUGGAAUCCGCUUGUCGGGAGAAACACGCGUGUCGAGGCAGAGCGCCGGGGUUUUUCCGGCGUCCAGCUCGCCACCGACGGCCCUUGAAACUUUGUCUGCUUAAAUCCACGCCUGGCGUACCGAUCACCGCAUCAGGUCCCCAAGGUGAACAGCCUCUGCUCUAUAUGAACAAUGCGGUAAGGGAAGUCGGCAAAUUAGACCCGUAACUUUGGGAUAAGGGUUGGCUCUAGUGCUGCGUGGGAGUGGUUGCCCAUGGUUGGGGAGGUUGGCGAGGCUGGCUUGGCGUG
RNAcentral lists this ribosomal RNA (545 nucleotides) under Callophyllis laingiana. RNAcentral's name for it is "eukaryotic LSU rRNA". It matches the Rfam family "Eukaryotic large subunit ribosomal RNA", at positions 1441 to 2016 of the family's 3401-position model. The record is from RNAcentral. Lineage: Eukaryota; Rhodophyta; Florideophyceae; Gigartinales; Kallymeniaceae.